This 70-nucleotide small nucleolar RNA is filed under the name Neogale vison (American mink). The record is from RNAcentral. Lineage: Eukaryota; Metazoa; Chordata; Mammalia; Carnivora; Mustelidae.
UUCUUAUGAUGAAAACUGUGUCCAGUUCUGCUACUGAAGGGAAACAGAUGAAAGCCUUAAGUGCUGAGGA